Molecule: RNase P RNA, 358 nt
Filed under: Rickettsiales bacterium
Lineage: Bacteria; Pseudomonadati; Pseudomonadota; Alphaproteobacteria; Rickettsiales
Description: RNase P RNA component class A
Rfam family: Bacterial RNase P class A
About the family: Ribonuclease P (RNase P) is a ubiquitous endoribonuclease, found in archaea, bacteria and eukarya as well as chloroplasts and mitochondria. Its best characterised activity is the generation of mature 5'-ends of tRNAs by cleaving the 5'-leader elements of precursor-tRNAs.
Source: RNAcentral
GAAGUAGGACGGAUAAUCGCUUAUUUUUCCCUUCGGGAGAUGAAAAUGAGAGGAAAGUCUGAACUCCAUGAAGAAACAGAAGUGGCUAAUGACCACAGGGAGCGAUCCCAUGGAAAGUGCAACAGAAAAUAAACCGCCCACUUGUGGGUAAGGGUGAAAAAGUGAGGUAAGAGCUCACUGUGGACGUAGAAAUAUGUUCUGCUGGUAAACCCUACUGGGAGCAAUACUAAGUUAGAUGUGUCCGUUUGGACAGUGUUCUUCACACAAACAUCGUGGUAAGUAGCUUGAGGUUGCGGGCAACCGCAGUCCCAGAUUAAUGAUUAUCAAAACAGAAUUCGGCUUAUGUUCUACUUCAAUA